UACGGGGGGGGCAAGCGUUGUUCGGAAUUACUGGGCGUAAAGGGCUCGUAGGCGGCCAACUAAGUCGGAUGUGAAAUCCCCAGGCUUAACCUGGGAACUGCAUCCGAUACUGGUUGGCUUGAAUCCGGGAGAGGGAUGCAGAAUUCCAGGUGUAGCGGUGAAAUGCGUAGAUAUCUGGAGGAAUACCGGUGGCGAAGGCGGCAUUCUGGACUGCAACUGACACUGAGGAACGAAAGCCAGGGGAGCAAACGGG
Molecule: ribosomal RNA, 253 nt
Filed under: uncultured bacterium
Lineage: Bacteria
Description: partial 16S ribosomal RNA
Rfam family: Bacterial small subunit ribosomal RNA
Source: RNAcentral